UUCCGGAUAUUGACUAUCCGGUUUCCGUUUUUGUGUUUGAAAUUAUCUGUACCGGAAGUACUAAAACAACAACAUGUGCUCCGAUCUUAUCGGAAAGUUUCCACCUUUUGGAAGACUUCUAGAGUCUUUUGGUCACCACGGAGUGAGUAAUUAGUGUUUUAAUGUGUUCUUAAUUACUAUAAUGUUCAUUCGAUUUGUUGAUACGAAGUUUAUUUGUGUAAAUGGGCAAAUUUCGAAACGCUACUGUCAAGUGGAAAUAAGGUCAAAGUACUGAGGGUUUUGAACUCGUUAAUUUAGUAUUUGUGGAAUUUAUUGGAACGUCUAAAAUGUGAAUAUUUGUAACAAUUAUGUAUCAUUAAGUGGAGUUGUGUAGCAAUUCUUGUCAUUUGUAUUUUGUAGUUUUUUACCCUCUCCGGAGGUAUGGAGCAAUAAAGUUUCUCCGGAAAUUCACCCUCAGUUGUUAUUGCACAGUAAAAAAUCCACGAAUAUGGCCGACAGCAGAUCCCUCUCAGGAGAGCAUGGACGUCGCACACGACGCCUCACACCAGGAGGUCAGGAGUUAUAUGAAAACUCUGUGUUCAAAUAUAAGGAAGGUUUGCGACGUAUUCAAAUGGACAUUGAUAUUCUGAUAGCCCAGGUAGAGAGCACUAAGGAACCAUCAUCCCUAAAGGAUAACCUAUGGGACUCGUGCCGUAAGUACGAAAUGAGUGCAUGGGAUUUCUCAAAUUUCCUUGUCAGACAGAAAACUGAAGAUAGUGAGUUAGAAAGUAUUUCACAGGGCCUCAUUUUACAAUCUGUUAAGGGGAAGGUUGAUGAAGCUGUAAGGACAUUGGAGAGAAAACUACACAAAACUAACAAAUCAGUUUAUUCAUCUAGGGCGCGAUCCACAUCCAAGAGCAGUUUAAGUUCAGCGUCAACAGCAUCUUACUUUAAACGUAAGUUAGAUUUGGAUAAAGCGAAACUACGUCAAAGGUAUAUCGAGCAAGAAUGUACGCUCGAAAGACAAAAGACAGAGUUAGAACUCAAUAUGAGGCGGCUGGAAUCACAGCGAAAUGUUGAUGAGGCAGAAUGUGAACUCAGUGCUAUAAUGAAAGAGUUUAUGGAGGACAACCAGUCGGUGACCUCAGAUGUGCUAUCUAAGCAAAGAGUGGAUGAUUAUGUUACCGAGCAGUUCAAUAUCAAGCAAGAGGCUAAUGUUGAGAGUAUAAUAAAUCAGCCUGGUGAUCCUAUGGACAACACAUUUGUGACCCUUAAUAGUGCUCGCCAUGAGACAACACUGUUGCUCCCGCCACAGUAUCAACAUUCCAAUACCAGGGAGCCAGACACAAAACCUAGAACACUGGAAUUUGAUUCGGCAGGGACAACACUUCCAUCAAAUACUCCAUGGUCAACUAUUGAGCCAAUCUAUUCAACCUCCAUUGAUUGGCAGUCUAAGCAUCAGCUCAUCGAUCCACCUUUUGGGUUAACAAGGACGAGUGAUGUAGCUCCCCCAUCUGUGUCUUGGUCAACCAUGAGACACCCCCCUGCCACAUUUACUACUUGUAAGACACCUGAUACUUACCUGCCAGGGAUGCCACCAGCAGUAUCUCCACGUGUCAUUUCUAGACCUUUAACCUCAGGAAAUACACAUCAUUCCACUGGUGUCACCAUCCCCUCAAGAGUGUCUGAGGAGGCUACUAACGUGGAAGUGUCUGAGGAGGCUACUAAUGUGGAAGUGUCUCCGGAACUAACCAGUGUGCAUACAUCCCGGGAGGAGACCAACGUGGAAGCAUCUAAGGAGGCUACCAAUGAGAAAAUGCCGGGAGUUCAGAUUUGUCAUGACAUGUCAACAUUUCUUAUAAAGAAAGACCUUCUUAAGUCUCGUCUCACAAAGUUUGAAGACAAGCCUGAAUAUUUUGAAUCAUGGAGAAGAACCUUUAAGAGUGUUGUGACAGGCCUGCAGUUGUCUCCCCUGGAAGAGCUUGAGUUGUUACAGAUUUGGUUGGGUCCGGAAUCAUCGUCCUAUGCUCGGAGUAUACGAGCUUCACACUCUGAUCCUGCAAUAGCAUGUAAUCGAUUAUGGGAAAGACUGAUGGAUAGGUACGGUAGGCCAGAAGUUGUUGAGGCUGCUUUAAAACAGAAACUUGCGAUGUUUCCGAAGAUAAGUAAUAAGGACGUCAAACAGCUAUAUGAACUGGCAGAUAUUGUGGCAGAGAUAGCGUCUGUUAAGAGUAACCCUCGUCUAGCUACACAACUUGCCUAUUUUGAUUCCUCAGGGGGAGUUAAUCUUAUCGUACAAAAGCUUCCGUAUGGUUUGCAGGAGGGUUGGACGAAGCACGCAAACAAGUACAAGAAUAUAAAUGACUCGUGCUUUCCUCCAUUUACAGUGUUUGUCAAGUUUCUAUUUGACAUUGCGAGAAUGAAGAACGACCCAUCCUUUGUUUAUGAUACGCCACAGGAAGCUAAACCAGGUCAUAGUAAAGGAAAAACCGGUCAGCAGGUUACAAGUAGGAAGACUGAGACUGUGGCUCCUUGUCGAGUAAAUCAACAGGAGACCAACAAAAAGGAAAUUCAGCAAGUAUGUCCACUUCAUCAGACUGCACAUAGUCUUAACAUGUGUCGAGCAUUUCGACAGAAAGGCAUAUCAGAAAGGAAACAGUUUUUGAGGGAUAAUGGGAUUUGUUAUAGGUGUUGUGGACAGAAAAAACACUUGGCGAAGGACUGUAAGAAAACUAUUUCUUGCGCUCUGUGUAAAUCACAAAGUCAUCCUACGGCGCUACAUGUAGCGGAACCUACCAGACAGACUGAUAACACUUCACCCACUAUUGAUGACCAUGCAGUGAGCACUACCUGCACUGCAGUGUGUGGAGAUCCAGCCAAGGCCAGCAAAUCUUGUGCUAAAACUGUUUUAGUCGUUGUACACCCCAUUGGUGAUCCUGAUAACGCUCUCCGUCUAUAUGCUGUAAUUGAUGAGCAAAGUAAUAGAACAUUAGCCAAGUCACAACUCUUCGAUUAUUUUGAGGUGUCUGGACCAGAGAUUCCGUAUUCCUUGUCGAGCUGCUCUGGAGAGUAUCAACAGUCAGGACGAAGGGCUUCAGGGUUGGUUAUAAAGCCGUUAGACAACAGCUGUAGCUUACAGUUACCCACUGUCAUAGAAUGCGAUGAGAUCCCUGACACACGAGAUGAAAUCCCGUCACCUGCAGUAGCUAGAGCUUACCGGCAUAUGCAGGACAUAGCUGAUGAGAUACAUCCUCUGGAUUCUAGUGCGGACAUUCUUCUCCUCAUAGGAAGAGAUCUCCUCCCAGCUCAUCAUGUAUUGGAUCAAAGACUCGGAGACUGCCCAAGUACACCCUAUGCUCAGAAGCUUCGAUUAGGGUGGGUAGUGGUAGGAGAGACUUGUUUGGGAGUUGUUCAUAGACCUGAGAAAAUAUCAGUCCUUAAGACCUUCACGCUGACGGAUGGAAGAUCCUCACAUAUGGUGCCGUGUGUGAAUAAUUUUAACACGAAGGAACCCGAUGUGUUCAUCCGAACAAUGCUUGACAACUUUACCGGACCUUCUGUAGAGGACAGAAAGUUUGUUGACCUUAUUAAAAAGGGAAUCACAAGGGACGACGAAGGAUGUUGGUGUAUGCCAUUGCCUUUCCGAGAGAUUCGUAAACGCUUACCGGGCAACUUUGUACAAGCACGCAAGAGGGCAAUCGUUCUGGCCCAUUCUUUACGCAGAAAUGAUGUGAAGCGAGAUCAUGUCAAGGAAUUCAUGGAGAAACUGUUCAUCAACGGUCACGCAGAGCUUGCCCCAGCUUUGACAGAGGGAGAAGAACAUUGGUAUUUGCCACUCUUUUCUGUAUAUCAUCCAAAGAAGCCUGACAAGGUUAGGUGUGUUUUUGAUUCUUCCGCGAAGUGUCAAGGUGUGAGUCUCAACGACGCUCUCUUGCCCGGACCAGAUUUGCUGAACAGCUUACUUGGCAUCAUCAUUCGGUUCCGUCAACAUUCCGUGGCAGUCAGUGCUGAUAUCGAACAGAUGUUUUACCGGUUUUCGGUCCCAGUUGAACAUAGAAACUAUCUUCGCUUCUUGUGGCAUCGUGACAAUGAUAUCGACCAGGAUUUGCAAGAAUAUAGGAUGACACGUCAUGUGUUUGGGAAUAGCCCAUCGCCGUCUAUCGCAACCUUCGGUCUUCGCGAGACUGUGGCUAGUGCCGAUACAGAUGUCAAACGUUUUGUAGAGGACAAUUUUUACGUAGACGAUGGGCUGACCUCUGUUGAUACACCAGAAGAAGCGAUUGGCCUACUGUGGAGAACUCAAGAUGUUCUUAGGAAAGAAGGAAACAUCAGGUUACAUAAGAUCACCUCAAACAAUUUGAAUGUUCUAAAUGCGUUCCCAAAGGACGAUUUGGCGAAGGACCUGGUGUCUUACGACCUGGAAUUGAGCGAGACUCCCCCACAGAGGAGUCUAGGCAUAAGCUGGGACAUUGCUUCAGACUCAUUCACCUUCAGAGUAUCUAAGGCUGUUCAACCUUACACGAAACGUGGCGUCUUGUCAACAAUUAACAGCUUGUAUGACCCUAUUGGAUUUUUGUCUCCUGUUGUCAUUAAAGGUAAACUCAUCAUGAGGGACAUCAUGUGCACUGGGCUUGAUUGGGAUGAUCCACUUCCUCCCGGCACCUACUCACAGUGGUGCGAAUGGCGAGCAUCUCUGUCUCUGUUGGAGGACCUCUCCAUCCCUCGUGCAUACGCUUACGUCACUACAUGCAAUGUAGUUCGCAGGGAGCUUCAUAUUUUCUCAGAUGCUUCUCAGAAAGCCAUUGGUGCAGUUGUGUACAUGAAGAUCGUUGACGACCAGGGUAAGCAGCAUCUUAGCUUUGUUCUUGGCAAGGCAAAAGUCGCCCCAUCCCACGGCCAUACGAUUCCCCGAUUAGAGCUUUGUGCUGCUUUGCUCGCAACACAGUUGAAGGACACUGUUACAAGACAACUCGACUACGACAUGGACAACAUCACGAUGUACACGGAUAGCAGAGUUAUUCUUGGAUACAUUCAGAAUGAGCGUAGACGAUUCUAUAUUUAUGUAGGGAACAGAGUUGAUCAGAUUCGUCAUUCAACUAAACCAGAGGACUGGCGAUACGUAUCGACUGAAGUCAAUCCUGCAGAUAUUGCCACCCGAUCUCUUGAUGCGGAGUCAAUUCAGAACAGUGUUUGGUUGCUGGGACCAUCUUUUCUUCUAGAUGCGGAAGACAGUCAUCACUUCCCUGAAGAUUGUGACAAGUAUCCUCUGGUGGAACCAGAUUCAGACAAGGAAGUGAGACCUUAUUUGUCCACGAUGAUGACCAGCUGCACGGAUUCCCGAACUUCUUUGGGAUCGCAUCGCUUUGAGAAGUUUUCUAAAUGGUCGUCGUUAGUGAAAGCUAUCGCUACUUUGCAACAUGUCGCUGCCUCUUUCAGUGAAGCUAAAUAUCACGGCGGUUGGCAUCGUUGUAUACAGUCUUCUGAUGGGACAUCCUGUAGAAAUGCCGAGUACUUUAUCUUGAAGGAAAUUCAGAAAGAUCACUUCUCGGGGGAAAUCCAUUGCAUUAGGGAGGGGAGAUCUAUCCCACGUAACAGUUCUAUCAUAGGACUCUCUCCAUUUAUGGAUUCCAACGGAGUAUUGCGUGUAGGAGGACGCCUCGCCAAGGGAAAGGAUCAUCUUCACCAUACUGACCUACACCCUAUCAUCAUUCCAAAGAACUGUCAUAUAGCCAUAUUGUUAGUUCGUCAUCAUCAUGAAGCCGUUCAACACCAAGGGCGUCGCAUUACGGAGGGAAGGUUACGCAGUUCUGGUUUCUGGAUCAUAGGCAUGAAGCGUCUUGUGGGAUCUGUGAUCCACCGUUGCGUAACCUGUAGAAAGCUGAGAGGAUCAUUUUGUGCUCCGAGGAUGGCAGACCUUCCAGUGGAUAGGCUUUCCCCUGGACCUCCUUUCUCCUUUGUCGGAGUGGACACAUUUGGUCCGUGGAGCGUCACAGCAAGGAAGACGAGAGGAGGUCUCGCCAAUCAGAAGAGAUGGGCCAUCCUUUUUACUUGUUUGGCCUCCAGAGCUAUACACAUCGAAGUGGUAGAGGAACUCAGUAGUUCCUCGUUUAUAAAUGCACUCCGAAGGUUCGUGUCAAUUCGUGGACCCAUUGUACAGUUGCGCUCGGACCGUGGCACCAAUUUUGUGGGUGCUGCCAAGGAGUUAGGACUCAAGACAGUAUUUGUCGAAGGAAAAGAAACUCAGGAUUUUCUACAGGAAAACAGAUGCACGUGGAUAUUCAACCCUCCACAUGCGUCCCAUUUCGGUGGAGUGUGGGAACGCAUGAUUGGCGUUUCCCGGAAAAUACUUGACGCAAUGUUACUGCGUUCGGACCGAAAGAAUCUCACCCAUGAGACCUUGUGUACAUUUCUUGCAGAGGUCUGUGCAAUCGUGAACUCUAGGCCACUUGUACCACUCACGGAGGACCCGGAUGAUCCUUCAGUUUUGUCACCAUCCAUGCUUCUCACACAAAAGAGUGUUAACCAGCCGGAAUCUCUACCAUCUUUGGACAUUAAGGACAUGUACAAAGCCCAGUGGCGCCAUGUACAGAUCCUCAGUAAUGAGUUUUGGAAGAAGUGGCAAAGAGAGUAUUUGUGUGCCCUUCAGGCCAGAUGCAAAUGGACUUCGGAGAGACCAAACCUGAAAGAAGGGGAUAUUGUGUUGUUGAGGGAAUACGAUUGCCAUCGGACUGAAUGGCCACUUGCAGCAGUGUCAAAGACAUUCCCAGCCUCUGAUGGUUGUGUUCGUGAAGUGGAGGUGCGCACUUACCAAGGAGGGAAAUUCUCACACUUCGUGAGACCCGUUCAUGAACUUGUUCCAUUGUUAUUAUAGUGCAUAUGCCUUUUGCGUUUGAACUGAAAUAUUCUGAACAUUCUGGAUAUUCGCUAUAUUCGAUUUAUUCGAUGUUUGCAUUCCCUGUAUUCACAAUUCGUGAGGAUUUUGAAGUUCGAAAUCUUAAUAAUUUUAGAGAUUUUUGUUUAUAUUUCAUUAGUGAUUUUACAAAUCAGGAGGGGAGUGUGAUGUUCCGGAUAUUGACUAUCCGGUUUCCGUUUUUGUGUUUGAAAUUAUCUGUACCGGAAGUACUAAAACAACAACAUGUGCUCCGAUCUUAUCGGAAAGUUUCCACCUUUUGGAAGACUUCUAGAGUCUUUUGGUCACCACGGAUUUUUUACCCUCUCCGGAGGUAUGGAGCAAUAAAGUUUCUCCGGAAAUUCACCCUCAGUUGUUAU
Molecule: RNA transcript, 7248 nt
Organism: Pecten maximus
Lineage: Eukaryota; Metazoa; Mollusca; Bivalvia; Pectinida; Pectinidae
Exons: 2
Source: RefSeq, a predicted model, not a curated record